This 511-nucleotide ribosomal RNA is filed under the name uncultured bacterium. RNAcentral describes it as "partial 16S ribosomal RNA". It matches the Rfam family "Bacterial small subunit ribosomal RNA", at positions 28 to 506 of the family's 1533-position model. The record is from RNAcentral.
GAUGAACGCUGGCGGCGUGCCUAAUACAUGCAAGUCGAACGAAACUUCUUUAUCACCGAGUGCUUGCACUCACCGAUAAAGAGUUGAGUGGCGAACGGGUGAGUAACACGUGGGCAACCUGCCCAAAAGAGGGGGAUAACACUUGGAAACAGGUGCUAAUACCGCAUAACCAUAGUUACCGCAUGGUAACUAUGUAAAAGGUGGCUAUACUACCGCCUUUGGAUGGGCCCGCGGCGCAUUAGCUAGUUGGUAGGGUAAAGGCUUACCAAGGCAAUGAUGCGUAGCCGAAUUGAGAGGUUGAUCGGCCACAUUGGGACUGAGACACGGCCCAAACUCCUACGGGAGGCAGCAGUAGGGAAUCUUCCACAAUGGGCGAAAGCCUGAUGGAGCAACGCCGCGUGGGUGAAGAAGGUCUUCGGAUCGUAAAACCCUGUUGUUAGAGAAGAAAGUGCGUGAGAGUAACUGUUCACGUUUCGACGGUAUCUAACCAGAAAGCCACGGCUAACUACGU